CUACGUGCCAGCAGCCGCGGUAAUACGUAGGUCCCGAGCGUUGUCCGGAUUUAUUGGGCGUAAAGCGAGCGCAGGCGGUUAGAUAAGUCUGAAGUUAAAGGCUGUGGCUUAACCAUAGUACGCUUUGGAAACUGUUUAACUUGAGUGCAAGAGGGGAGAGUGGAAUUCCAUGUGUAGCGGUGAAAUGCGUAGAUAUAUGGAGGAACACCGGUGGCGAAAGCGGCUCUCUGGCUUGUAACUGACGCUGAGGCUCGAAAGCGUGGGGAGCAAACAGGAUUAGAUACCCUGGUAGUCCACGCCCUAAACGAUGUCGAUUAGCUGUUGGGCAGCUUGACUGCUUAGUAGCGAAGCUAACGCGUGAAAUCGACCGCCUGGGGAGUACGGUCGCAAGAUUAAAACUCAAAGGAAUUGACGGGGACCCGCACAAGCGGUGGAUGAUGUGGAUUAAUUCGAUGCAACGCGAAGAACCUUACCUGGUCUUGACAU
Molecule: ribosomal RNA, 486 nt
Filed under: uncultured bacterium
Lineage: Bacteria
Description: bacterial SSU rRNA
Rfam family: Bacterial small subunit ribosomal RNA
Source: RNAcentral